CAGAAAUAUUUAAUGACAAUAGUUAGAUGAGCUUUCAUUUCUCUUGAUGAUGUGUUUGGAUACUAAUAGAUAAACAGACUUCAAUGGCUUAUCAAAGGUUUAAAUUGAACUACUGUGAUCAACUGAACUAUAAGUAAGGGAGCCCCAGAAAAAGGAGAACUCCAUUGGUAGACUCCAAUGCAGCCAAGCAUUCUCAGCUUCAACCAGAUCAGCCAUCUCCAUGUGCCAAGCCUGGUAUCAAUGCUUUAGAGGAAAAGUCCCUAGAAAAAAAAUAGAUGAGAGUUGAUGAUACUACAC
Long non-coding RNA from Globicephala melas (long-finned pilot whale), 297 nucleotides. RefSeq lists it as uncharacterized. NCBI's taxonomy places the organism in Eukaryota, Metazoa, Chordata, Mammalia, Artiodactyla, Delphinidae. The record is from RefSeq and is a predicted model, not a curated record.